UACAUGCAAGUCGAGCGAGAAAGUUUCUUCGGAAACGAGUAAAGCGGCGAACGGGUGAGUAACGCGUAGGAAUCUACCAUUCAGCGGGGGAUAGCUCGGGGAAACUCGAAUUAAUACCGCAUACACCCUACGGGGGAAAGAAGGCCUAUCCUUGGAAGCUUUCACUGUUUGAUGAGCCUGCGUGAGAUUAGUUUGUUGGUGAGGUAAUAGCUCACCAAGACUACGAUCUCUAGCUGGUCUGAGAGGACGAUCAGCCACACUGGGACUGAGACACGGCCCAGACUCCUACGGGAGGCAGCAGUAGAGAAUAUUGGACAAUGGGGGCAACCCUGAUCCAGGCAUGCCGCGUGUGUGAAGAAGGCCUUAGGGUUGUAAAGCACUUUAGGUAAGGAAGAAAAGUUAAUAGUUAAUACCUAUUAACCGUGACAUUACUUACAGAAUAAGGACCGGCUAACUCCGUGCCAGCAGCCGCGGUAAUACGGAGGGUCCAAGCGUUAAUCGGAAUUACUGGGCGUAAAGCGCGCGUAGGCGGUAUGCUAAGUUGGGUGUGAAAUCCCCGGGCUUAACCUGGGAACUGCAUUCAAAACUUGUAUACUGGAGUACGGAAGAGGCGAGUAGAAUUCAUGGUGUAGCGGUGAAAUGCGUAGAUAUCAUGAGGAAUACCAAUGGCGAAGGCAACUCGCUGGUCCGAAACUGACGCUGAGGUGCGAAAGCGUGGGUAGCAAACAGGAUUAGAUACCCUGGUAGUCCACGCCGUAAACGAUGAGAACUAGCCGUUGGAUCCUUGAGAUUCAGUGGCACAGCUAACGCAUUAAGUUCUCCGCCUGGGGAGUACGGCCGCAA
Molecule: ribosomal RNA, 843 nt
Filed under: uncultured Gammaproteobacteria bacterium
Lineage: Bacteria; Pseudomonadati; Pseudomonadota; Gammaproteobacteria
Description: bacterial SSU rRNA
Rfam family: Bacterial small subunit ribosomal RNA
Source: RNAcentral